Molecule: ribosomal RNA, 468 nt
Filed under: uncultured bacterium
Lineage: Bacteria
Description: partial 16S ribosomal RNA
Rfam family: Bacterial small subunit ribosomal RNA
Source: RNAcentral
GACGAACGCUGGCGGCGUGCUUAACACAUGCAAGUCGAACGGAAAGGCCCUGCUUUUGUGGGGUGCUCGAGUGGCGAACGGGUGAGUAACACGUGAGUAACCUGCCCUUGACUUUGGGAUAACUUCAGGAAACUGGGGCUAAUACCGGAUAGGAGCUCCUGCUGCAUGGUGGGGGUUGGAAAGUUUCGGCGGUUGGGGAUGGACUCGCGGCUUAUCAGCUUGUUGGUGGGGUAGUGGCUUACCAAGGCUUUGACGGGUAGCCGGCCUGAGAGGGUGACCGGCCACCUUGGGACUGCGAUACGGACCAGAAUCCUACGGGAGGCAGCAGUGGGGAAUAUUGCACAAUGGGCGGAAGCGUGAUGCAGCAACGCCGCGUGCGGGAUGCCGGCCUUCGGGUUGUAAACCGCUUUCGCCUGUGACGAAGCGUGAGUGACGGUAAUGGGUAAAGAAGCACCGGCUAACUACGUG